This is a long non-coding RNA of Ailuropoda melanoleuca (giant panda), 1406 nucleotides long. RefSeq lists it as uncharacterized. Lineage: Eukaryota; Metazoa; Chordata; Mammalia; Carnivora; Ursidae. The transcript has 3 exons. The record is from RefSeq and is a predicted model, not a curated record.
AGUCAGAACGCAAGAAAGAACUUCAUACAGUUGGUGGAAGAAUUACAUGUUCAACGGCUGCCGGGUCAGAGUCUCCUUUCUGACCGCCCUAUGUGUGAAUACACGUAGAGAACAAGUCUAUCAUGUGAAGCUGGAAAACACGUCUUUCGAAGGAAUUAAACUGUUAACCAAGAGGGGCAGUGGCUUCCAGGGAAGAGGCUGCCAGCUUGCUUAUCUGACAGCGAGGGCUGCCAGUCCACCCACCACACCCACGAGCGGAGAGCGUGCAGUCAGUCUUCUUCUCACGCAGGGAAGAGGCCACUUGUUCGCAGAAAACGUGAGUCAGUUAUAGAAAAAUCUGAGGAUAUAUUGUACUCAUUGAUUAGGAAAAGGAUAAAGUAAAAACAAACAAACAUCAAAGAAUAAGAAGGAGUUCAUGGACUUUAAGAAGUAUUGCUUACAUGAAAAUUUCAGGAGAAAAACUGGAAAAAUAUAGACCCCAAAAAAGCAAACACCCAAAAGAGGUGGAUAACAUGAGGGGCAAAGGAGCCUAGGAAGGACCCAGCCUCAGGCGGCCACGGAUGGGCCACGGAUGCCUCCGUGACAUUUCCCAUCCAUCACCGAGGAAGCCCGCAGACCCGAACUAGUGGAGCUCAACACUGCAUCUCCUUCGGCCGCUACAUUUUAUUGAGAAGAAAGGAGGUUUGAGCCCCCUGACCGCUCUUUUUUCAUUAGUGUUCUAAAAUUCCUAUCCAAUUGCUAUUUGAAAAAUAAGUAAACACAAACCCUUAAACACGCCUCCCUUUAUUAUGUAAAGCAGUUCAGCCCUACUCCCGCCCCUAUAUCCAAAUUUACGUGUGCACACAAUACUCAGCCGAAAACAAAGUGGGGGGAUGGCAGUCAACCCCCCAGCGCUGGACUGACAGGGCAGGUGGCAGCAUCGUGCCCUACCUGAGUGCCCACGCUGCCAUCGCUAAGCCCCCAGAGCUAACCAACAUGUUUCCUCCCAACAAAACCAAACAACUUGCCCGCAGGAGAAUGUUCUAAGCAGCUGCUAAGAGGAAAAAACCAAAAACAUUCUCUAUCUUAUGAUACUAACGUCUACUGCUUGAAUAUUGUCUCUCUGCCAACCAGUUUCUUAGCAGCCUUUUUUUAAAAAAAUUAUUCAAUGGCAUUUAACAGAUGGAAAAACCCUAGAUCACAGAGAAAGGCACACAUCAUAAUCACACACAAACUUAUCAGUCUCAACAAAAACAGUCUUAAAGGCCUUAAUCAUUUAUUUACAAAGACAUGAAAAUGUUUUCCUUGGGAAAAAUAGGCGAAUGACAUACUGCAGAAUACACUUGUCAGUAACAAAGUGGAUCAAGCAGGACGAGACGCAUAGUAAAAUGACUCCAUAGAAUUAAUGUGAACUACAGAAAUUCCCC